UUUCCGUAGGUGAACCUGCGGAAGGAUCAUUACAGUAGUCACCCAGGUUGCCGCAAGGCCUCCUGGGUAACCUACCACCCUUUGUUUAUUACACCUUGUUGCUUUGGCAAGCCUGCCCUCGGGCUGCUGGCUCCGGCCGGCGAGCGCUUGCCAGAGGACCUAAACUCUGUUUGUCUAUACUGUCUGAGUACUAUAUAAUAGUUAAAACUUUCAACAACGGAUCUCUUGGUUCUG
RNAcentral lists this unclassified non-coding RNA (234 nucleotides) under plant metagenome. RNAcentral's name for it is "partial contains small subunit ribosomal RNA, internal transcribed spacer 1, and 5.8S ribosomal RNA". The record is from RNAcentral.